Molecule: ribosomal RNA, 429 nt
Filed under: Gemmatimonadota bacterium
Lineage: Bacteria; Pseudomonadati; Gemmatimonadota
Description: Gemmatimonadetes bacterium partial 16S ribosomal RNA
Rfam family: Bacterial small subunit ribosomal RNA
Source: RNAcentral
UAGGGAAUCUUCGGCAAUGGACGAAAGUCUGACCGAGCAACGCCGCGUGAGUGAAGAAGGUUUUCGGAUCGUAAAACUCUGUUGUUAGAGAAGAACAAGGACGUUAGUAACUGAACGUCCCCUGACGGUAUCUAACCAGAAAGCCACGGCUAACUAUGUGCCAGCAGCCGCGGUAAUACGUAGGUGGCAAGCGUUGUCCGGAUUUAUUGGGCGUAAAGCGAGCGCAGGCGGUUUCUUAAGUCUGAUGUGAAAGCCCCCGGCUCAACCGGGGAGGGGCAUUGGAAACUGGGAGACUUGAGUGCAGAAGAGGAGAGUGGAAUUCCAUGUGUAGCGGUGAAAUGCGUAGAUAUAUGGAGGAACACCAGUGGCGAAGGCGGCUCUCUGGUCUGUAACUGACGCUGAGGCUCGAAAGCGUGGGGAGCAAACAGG